UCCGGAAACGGGCGCUAAUACCGCAUACGUCCUGAGGGAGAAAGUGGGGGAUCUUCGGACCUCACGCUAUCAGAUGAGCCUAGGUCGGAUUAGCUAGUUGGUGGGGUAAAGGCCUACCAAGGCGACGAUCCGUAACUGGUCUGAGAGGAUGAUCAGUCACACUGGAACUGAGACACGGUCCAGACUCCUACGGGAGGCAGCAGUGGGGAAUAUUGGACAAUGGGCGAAAGCCUGAUCCAGCCAUGCCGCGUGUGUGAAGAAGGUCUUCGGAUUGUAAAGCACUUUAAGUUGGGAGGAAGGGCAGUAAGUUAAUACCUUGCUGUUUUGACGUUACCAACAGAAUAAGCACCGGCUAACUUCGUGCCAGCAGCCGCGGUAAUACGAAGGGUGCAAGCGUUAAUCGGAAUUACUGGGCGUAAAGCGCGCGUAGGUGGUUCAGCAAGUUGGAUGUGAAAUCCCCGGGCUCAACCUGGGAACUGCAUCCAAAACUACUGAGCUAGAGUACGGUAGAGGGUGGUGGAAUUUCCUGUGUAGCGGUGAAAUGCGUAGAUAUAG
Molecule: ribosomal RNA, 555 nt
Filed under: Pseudomonas aeruginosa
Lineage: Bacteria; Pseudomonadati; Pseudomonadota; Gammaproteobacteria; Pseudomonadales; Pseudomonadaceae
Description: bacterial SSU rRNA
Rfam family: Bacterial small subunit ribosomal RNA
Source: RNAcentral